GGGUCAGUAGGUUGGUCGUGCCACCGGUACGUACUGGUCUCACUGAUUCCUCCUUCCUGAAGAACCGUAAUGCCAUUAAUUUGGUGUUGCGGGGAAACAGGACUGUUACUUUGAAAAAAGUAGAGUGUUUAAAGCAAGCUAACGCUUGAAUACAUUAGCAUGGAAUAAUGAAAUAGGACGAUCGAUCCUAUUUUGUUGGUUUCUAGGAUUGACGUU
Molecule: ribosomal RNA, 216 nt
Filed under: Glomeromycotina sp.
Lineage: Eukaryota; Fungi; Glomeromycota
Description: partial small subunit ribosomal RNA
Rfam family: Eukaryotic small subunit ribosomal RNA (bases 40-216)
Source: RNAcentral